This 323-nucleotide ribosomal RNA is filed under the name uncultured Streptococcus sp. RNAcentral describes it as "bacterial SSU rRNA". It matches the Rfam family "Bacterial small subunit ribosomal RNA", at positions 1056 to 1382 of the family's 1533-position model. The record is from RNAcentral. Lineage: Bacteria; Bacillati; Bacillota; Bacilli; Lactobacillales; Streptococcaceae.
CAGCUCGUGUCGUGAGAUUGGUUGGCUAAGUCCCGCAACGAGCGCAACCCUAUUGUUAGUUGCCAUCAUUCAGUUGGGCACUCUAGCGAGACUGCCGGUAAUAAACCGGAGGAAGUGGGAUGACGUCAAAUCAUCAUGCCCCUUAUGACCUGGGCUACACACGUGCUACAAUGGUUGGUACAACGAGUUGCGAGUCGGUGACGGCGAGCUAAUCUCUUAAAGCCAAUCUCAGUUCGGAUUGUAGGCUGCAACUCGCCUACAUGAAGUCGGAAUCGCUAGUAAUCGCGGAUCAGCACGCCGCGGUGAAUACGUUCCCGGGCCUU